This 62-nucleotide transfer RNA is filed under the name Liposcelis paeta. RNAcentral describes it as "tRNA-Ala". The record is from RNAcentral. Lineage: Eukaryota; Metazoa; Arthropoda; Insecta; Psocodea; Liposcelididae.
AGAAAGAUAAUUUAUAAAAAAUAUCUUUAUUGCAUAAAGAAAAAGAAGAAUUUCUCUUUAAU